Molecule: long non-coding RNA, 1914 nt
Organism: Anguilla rostrata (American eel)
Lineage: Eukaryota; Metazoa; Chordata; Actinopteri; Anguilliformes; Anguillidae
Exons: 9
Source: RefSeq, a predicted model, not a curated record
UGUUGCGACACUCUUUGAUCUCGCCGCCACGCGAUCACGUGGUCCAUGUAGCUCUCGAUAGUUCCAAACAAAUUCGGCGCGCUCUGUUAACACCUGUUUGAAUGGUUUUCAGCGGGACAGACAGCAGCAGUGACUAUAUUUACAGGAAUGUUCGAUUGAUGUCUUACCAUGGUUGGCUGUUCAGCAUUUGGAUGCACCAAUCGGUCUGAGAAAGGGAUCCGGAUGUAUGGCUUCCCAAAAGAUACCGACAGGAGAAGAAAAUGGUUGGCCCAAGUCAGCAGAAGUAACCUGACCAUCACAAGAAAUUACAAUAACAGGAAACUGUGUGUGGCACAUUUUGAGGGAGAGCAAUUCACAAGAACAAAAAAAGGCCAACUGAAAUUGAAGGCCGAUGCUGUUCCAACCAUAUUUGUGCAUCGCCCUGAGCCCAAGAGGAGGAAGGGUCCUGCUGUGAGAACCACCCCAAAACCUCCAGUACAUGUUCAUGCAGUGGCCAGUGACCACACAUAUUGUCCCAUAAUGAACUUUGAUAUUGAGGGAAGAAGUGAGGGAAGAAAGGACAAGGAAGGUGAAGACUCCACCAGCCUCGCCAUUGCUCCUACAGAAAUGCCGAGAACAAACUUGGAAAAGUGUCUGCUGUGGAUAAAACUUUGUGGACGACCACACUCGCAGCUUAAUGUCAAUACCAUAAGCAGACACACAUAUAUUUGUUCGAAGCACUUUGUCAAUGAAAGACCGAACGAUACCUUUCCCAACCCCGGGGAUGCAAGGAAUAAGAUUGCCACACCAUGCAGACCUUCUUCGAGAAGACGGCAUUUAACUGUACCACUCACGGAUAUCACAGUGGAUGGGAUCAAGCAACUCAAAGAGGAACACAGAGAUCACCAAGAAACAAAAAGAUCAAUUAAAAAGGGCUAAAGGUGUUGGGCUACCUGUGGUUUUAAAAGAAAGCUCAAGAGGUCUUCAUCAAGGAUGAGCAUCAGGAGGAGCCGGCACUCUCAAGUGUUGCAGAUGCUCUAGAGGACGUCAGAGCUGUGGUAGCACAGCAGCAGGAAGAAAUCCAAGCUCUUCGAAAGCAACUGCAAGAGCAGCAGCAGCAGCAACAGCAGCUGCAACAGCAACUGCAACAACAGCCACUAAUAAUGAUCCUCCUAGUGUAAGCAUUGUAUUUAGUCCCUGGAUUUAUUACAUGUAUUACACAUUUGGCCAGUCUAACAUUCAGAUGUGUGCAACAGAUGUGCAAAGAGCAAAAAAGGACGAACACGGAGUGUAUGUAUGUGUGCCAUUGCAAAAAUCAAGAAGUCCAAGGUUCUUUCAAACUAAAUCCUAAAAGACAAAACUUAAGAACAUCAGUGAAAUUUGUUUUGUGGUGUGCAUGUUGUCAAAAUUCCAGCCCCACAUAAUUAAGCCUUGAUCAUAUUGCAUCUCGUGUGUACAUCUAGCCUGGUAGCUUAGACCACACCCCAUAUUGGGCUCCGUGUGUUUCCCACAGCAACCUCCUGGGUGGGUGAUUGAUGAGGUAACUUACUGGUGUAACAGACAUACUCCUCAAUGGCUCCAUGUCCUCCUCUGUCACUGGAUGUCCUUCCCUAGAGAGAAAGUAUUUAUUGAAAGCAUGUUUAGUGUAAUAUGCUGUGGGGUCUAGGGGUUUGAGUUAAGUACGGAGGAGGGGGAUACAAUUAAUACAAAUGUGAAUUAGAUGAGUUGGGCAUGGUUUAGGAGCAGUGGCACUAUGUUUUAACUCAUUUAGGCUUCAUUUUUGAGCAGAAAUGGUCAUGGUGUACUAUGGAACUGUUGACUACUGUGUUCUACUCAUGUACAACUCUAUACUGUAAAGACAUCCCACUAUUGUCUGUUAUGUUUCCAUGUUAAAUGAACGUGAAUAAACUUGGCUGAAGUCAGCACCUGUUGUAA